Paramuricea clavata is the source of this 415-nucleotide non-coding RNA. The record is from the annotation of a GenBank genome assembly. NCBI's taxonomy places the organism in Eukaryota, Metazoa, Cnidaria, Anthozoa, Malacalcyonacea, Plexauridae.
GGAAGGGCCAGGGCUGGUGGUACUCCCAAUACUAGUACGUAGUAAGUCGUAUAAUGAUGCGGACACUAGGAAUGACCUCCCUCCCUUUCAACCAAACCGUCCGCAGGGAAUUCAUUUUGGUAGGCAAGUCUUGCGGAGAUGUAUGACAACUGCGUUAGAGUUUUUUCGUCUCUUCUUCACCUCCGAGAUGAUAAGAUCAGUUGUUGCCCACACCAACAGCUACGCAUACAUGAAACUUGUAGCUGGGGGGUAUACUACAUACACCACUUCGAAGGGGGCUUGGAAAGAAAUGACUGAUGAUGAAAUAAAUAAUUUGAUUGCUCUUUUGAUUUAUUUUGAUCUGGUACGUGUGGACUCAGCCGUUGAAAAGUAUUGGAGCACAAAGACCCUUUACCACGGUCUCUGGGCAAGGAAG